UCCGCCAGCCCAUUCUCGGGGCGUUUCCUCCCUAGACUCAAGGCCGGAGCGAUUGCUCCGGCCUUUUUUUCGUCCGCG
Azospirillum brasilense is the source of this 78-nucleotide non-coding RNA. NCBI's taxonomy places the organism in Bacteria, Pseudomonadati, Pseudomonadota, Alphaproteobacteria, Rhodospirillales, Azospirillaceae. The record is from Rfam.